CACGUAGGGCGCAAGCGUUGUCCGGAAUUAUUGGGCGUAAAGAGCUCGUAGGCGGUCUGUUGCGUCCGCUGUGAAAACUCGGGGCUUAACCCCGAGCCUGCAGUGGAUACGGGCAGACUAGAGGUAGGUAGGGGAGAAUGGAAUUCCCGGUGUAGCGGUGAAAUGCGCAGAUAUCGGGAGGAACACCGGUGGCGAAGGCGAUCACCUGGGGUUGUACUGACGCUGAGGAGCGAAAGCUAGGGGAGCAAACGGG
RNAcentral lists this ribosomal RNA (253 nucleotides) under uncultured bacterium. Its description in RNAcentral is "partial 16S ribosomal RNA". It matches the Rfam family "Bacterial small subunit ribosomal RNA", at positions 524 to 776 of the family's 1533-position model. The record is from RNAcentral.